This 74-nucleotide transfer RNA is filed under the name Bos taurus (domestic cattle). It matches the Rfam family "tRNA". From Rfam's summary of the family: Transfer RNA (tRNA) molecules are approximately 80 nucleotides in length. Their secondary structure includes four short double-helical elements and three loops (D, anti-codon, and T loops). RNAcentral also lists the same sequence under 1 other name. The record is from Rfam by way of RNAcentral. Lineage: Eukaryota; Metazoa; Chordata; Mammalia; Artiodactyla; Bovidae.
UCCUUGGAAGUCCAGUAGUUAAGACUCUACACUUCCAAUGUAGGGGGGCACAGGUUCAAUUCCUGGUUGGUGAA